RNAcentral lists this small RNA (619 nucleotides) under Pongo abelii (Sumatran orangutan). Its description in RNAcentral is "processed transcript". Lineage: Eukaryota; Metazoa; Chordata; Mammalia; Primates; Hominidae. The record is from RNAcentral.
GUAGUCUUUGUUCGGUUUGGUGGUUGCCCGGUGGGCCGGAGACGCACCGUAGAAACCAAACCCUCUUACCCAAUUGGACGCCGUCCCCAAGAGACACAUCUCAAUUCAAAGGCAGCUUGCUGAUCUAGAGAAGUUAGCUUUUGUAACUGAAGGAAAUUUUGACUCUGCCAGCUCAUUGAACUCAGAUAAUCUUGAUGCAGGCAACAGACAGGCUUGUCCAUUGUGCCCUAAGGAAAAAUUCAGAGCUUGUAAUAGCCAUAAGCUUCGUCGUCACCUCCAGAAUUUACACUGGAAAGUCUCAGUUGAAUUUGAAGGUUACAGGAUGUGCAUCUGUCACUUACCUUGUCGACCAGUGAAACCAAACAUUAUUGGAGAACAGAUAACCAGUAAAAUGGGAGCCCAUUAUCAUUGUAUCAUUUGUUCAGCAACAAUCACCAGAAGAACUGAUAUGCUAGGACAUGUUAGGCGCCACAUGAAUAAAGGAGAGACUAAAUCUAGUUAUGUUGCAGCUUCCACUGCUAAACCACCUAAGGAAAUUUUGAAAGAGGCAGACACGGAUGUACAAGUUUGUCCCAACUAUUCUAUACCUCAGAAAACAGAUUCCUAUUUUAACCCCAAA